AACGAACGCUGGCGGCAUGCCUAACACAUGCAAGUCGAACGAGACCUUCGGGUCUAGUGGCGCUCGGGUGCGUAACGCGUGGGAACCAGCCCUUAGGUUAGGAAUAACUCCCCGUAAGGGAUGCUAAUAACAGAGAGGGUCAUAGGGCCAAAGACUUAUCGCUGUUGGCUGGGCCCGCGUAGGAUUAGCUGGUUGGUAGGGUACAAGCCUACCAAGGCGACGAUGCAUAGCUGGUCUGGGAGGAAGACCCGGCACACUUGGACUGCGACACGGCCCAGACGCGGACGGGACGCAGCAGUGUGGUAUAUUGUACGCUGGACCAUGGCCUGAUCCAGCCGUGCCGCGUGUGUGGUGCAGGCCUUUGUGUUGUAAAUCUCUUUUACCCGGGGUGUUAAUGACAGUACCGGGUGAAGAAGCACCGGCUAACUCCGUG
Molecule: ribosomal RNA, 433 nt
Filed under: uncultured bacterium
Lineage: Bacteria
Description: partial 16S ribosomal RNA
Rfam family: Bacterial small subunit ribosomal RNA
Source: RNAcentral